RNAcentral lists this ribosomal RNA (267 nucleotides) under uncultured Spirochaeta sp. Its description in RNAcentral is "partial 16S ribosomal RNA". It matches the Rfam family "Bacterial small subunit ribosomal RNA", at positions 1114 to 1382 of the family's 1533-position model. The record is from RNAcentral. Lineage: Bacteria; Pseudomonadati; Spirochaetota; Spirochaetia; Spirochaetales; Spirochaetaceae.
GUUGCCAGCAUUUAAGGUGGGGACUCAGAUGAGACUGCCGGUGACAAACCGGAGGAAGUGGGGACGACGUCAAGUCAUCAUGGCCCUUAUGUCCUGGGCUACACACGUGCUACAAUGGCCGGUACAGAGUGAAGCGAAACCGCGAGGUGAAGCAAAACGCAGAAAGCCGGUCUCAGUACGGAUUGGAGUCUGAAACUCGACUUCAUGAAGUUGGAAUCGCUAGUAAUCGCGCAUCAGCAUGGCGCGGUGAAUACGUUCCCGGGCCUU